ACUAGCUGACAAGAAACUAUGACAAAAACUUGAAAUAAUACCGAUAAUUGCGAGUGCUUCGGCUACUAUGACAGAUUGAUAAAGAUCCUACGUUAGUUUGUUUUCAAAAUACCCGAUUAUAUUGUAAGGAGGUUUUGGAGCUCAUAAAAUAUGUCUAUUAAAAGAACCAAGGCAGAAUUGGCAAAAACACGAAAGGAGAUACAAGAAGAAGAAUAGACCACAAAACGUCGCACUGAUGACAAACUUUCUUUGAAGACAUUGGAUCGGCACACCUCAGGGACURACAAUGAAUAAUUUCAUCAGUAAAAAAGAUAUUGAGGAAUUGGUGCUCUGGACAGAAACUAUGAAUGAAUCUACAGAGACAUACACAACCAUGGCUAGGAUUGAUGCAACCACUGGGAGUGAUGGAACUACUGAGACUGAUGCAACCACUGGGACUGAUGCAACCACUGGAACUGAUGCAACUAUUAGAACUGUUGCAACUACUAGGUCUGAUACAGUGAUGRAAACACCUGACAAAAUAUAAGCAACACCUGGUUCCAGUAUGGAAUUUAUGCAACUSCCAACUCUGAUGAGUGUACCACCCUUUAUGCCAACAACACCACACCAUUGGUCUACAGACAUCUUGGAACAGCUUAAAAACGUAGAGGCCAAAUUGACCACGAUACUAGCGAACCAACAAACAGUAAUGUGUGAACUAACUGGACUGAAAACCUUACUGUCCACUGACAUACUAACAAAGCAAAACACUAAGACACCUACAUCACUGCCAACUUUGAUGGAGCUAAUUAACAUU
This is a long non-coding RNA of Exaiptasia diaphana, 796 nucleotides long. RefSeq lists it as uncharacterized. The transcript is spliced from 2 exons. Lineage: Eukaryota; Metazoa; Cnidaria; Anthozoa; Actiniaria; Aiptasiidae. The record is from RefSeq and is a predicted model, not a curated record.